RNAcentral lists this ribosomal RNA (397 nucleotides) under uncultured bacterium. RNAcentral's name for it is "partial 16S ribosomal RNA". It matches the Rfam family "Bacterial small subunit ribosomal RNA", at positions 523 to 918 of the family's 1533-position model. The record is from RNAcentral.
AUACGUAGGGGGCGAGCGUUGUCCGGAAUGAUUGGGCGUAAAGGGCGCGUAGGCGGCCUUGCAAGUCAGUAGUGGAAGUCCAUUUUUCAAGGAUGGCAGUGCUACAGAAACUGCGGAGCUUGAGUGCAGGAGAGGUUAUCGGAAUUCCCAGUGUAGCAGUGAAAUGCGUAGAGAUUGGGAGGAACACCAGUGGCGAAGGCGAUUUGCUGGACUGCAACUGACGUUGAGAUGCGAAAGCUAGGGGAGCAAACGGGAUUAGAUACCCCGGUAGUUCUAGCCGUAAACGAUGGAUACUAGGUGUAGAGGGUAUCGACCCCUUCUGUGCCGCAGCGAACGCAAUAAGUAUCCCGCCUGGGGAGUACGGUCGCAAGACUGAAACUCAAAUGAAUUGGCGGGG